This 881-nucleotide ribosomal RNA is filed under the name Leucocoprinus nympharum. RNAcentral describes it as "LSU rRNA". It matches the Rfam family "Eukaryotic large subunit ribosomal RNA", at positions 72 to 938 of the family's 3401-position model. Lineage: Eukaryota; Fungi; Basidiomycota; Agaricomycetes; Agaricales; Agaricaceae. The record is from RNAcentral.
GGAUUCCCCUAGUAACUGCGAGUGAAGCGGGAAAAGCUCAAAUUUAAAAUCUGGCGGUCUCUGGCCGUCCGAGUUGUAAUCUAGAGAAGUGCUGCCCGCGCUGGACCGUGUACAAGUCUCCUGGAAUGGAGCGUCAUAGAGGGUGAGAAUCCCGUCUUUGACACGGACUACCAGGGCUUUGUGGUACGCUCUCAAAGAGUCGAGUUGUUUGGGAAUGCAGCUCAAAAUGGGUGGUAAAUUCCAUCUAAAGCUAAAUAUUGGCGAGAGACCGAUAGCGAACAAGUACCGUGAGGGAAAGAUGAAAAGAACUUUGGAAAGAGAGUUAAACAGUACGUGAAAUUGCUGAAAGGGAAACGCUUGAAGUCAGUCGCGUUGGCCGGGGAUCAGCCUCGCUCUUUUGCGUGGUGUACUUUCCGGUCGACGGGUCAGCAUCAGUUUUGAUCGCUGGAAAAAGGCCUGAGGAAUGUGGCAGCUCCGGCUGUGUUAUAGCUUCUGGUCACAUACAGCGGUUGGGAUUGAGGAACUCAGCACGCCGCAAGGCCGGGUUUCGACCACGUUCGUGCUUAGGAUGCUGGCAUAAUGGCUUUAAGCGACCCGUCUUGAAACACGGACCAAGGAGUCUAACAUGCCUGCGAGUGUUUGGGUGGAAAACCCGAGCGCGUAAUGAAAGUGAAAGUUGAGAUCCCUGUCGCGGGGAGCAUCGACGCCCGGACCAGAACUUUUGGGACGGAUCCGCGGUAGAGCAUGUAUGUUGGGACCCGAAAGAUGGUGAACUAUGCCUGAAUAGGGUGAAGCCAGAGGAAACUCUGGUGGAGGCUCGUAGCGAUUCUGACGUGCAAAUCGAUCGUCAAAUUUGGGUAUAGGGGCGAAAGACUAAUCGA